CCGCAACGAGCGCAACCCUUGAUCUUAGUUGCCAUCAUUUAGUUGGGCACUCUAAGGUGACUGCCGGUGACAAACCGGAGGAAGGUGGGGAUGACGUCAAAUCAUCAUGCCCCUUAUGACCUGGGCUACACACGUGCUACAAUGGACGGUACAAAGAGCUGCAAGACCGCGAGGUGGAGCUAAUCUCAUAAAACCGUUCUCAGUUCGGAUUGUAGGCUGCAACUCGCCUACAUGAAGCUGGAAUCGCUAGUAAUCGCGGAUCAGCAUGCCGCGGUGAAUACGUUCCCGGGCCUUGUACACACCGCCCGUCACACCACGAGAGUUUGUAACACCCGAAGUCGGUGGGGUAACCUUUUUGGAGCCAGCCGCCUAAGGUGGGACAGAUGAUUGGGGUGAAGUCGUAACAAGGUAGCCGUAUCGGAAGGUGCGGCUGGAUCACCUCCUUUCUAUGGA
RNAcentral lists this ribosomal RNA (453 nucleotides) under Brucella abortus. Its description in RNAcentral is "bacterial SSU rRNA". It matches the Rfam family "Bacterial small subunit ribosomal RNA", at positions 1087 to 1533 of the family's 1533-position model. The record is from RNAcentral. Lineage: Bacteria; Pseudomonadati; Pseudomonadota; Alphaproteobacteria; Hyphomicrobiales; Brucellaceae.